UGGUACCUUACGUGUCUUGAAAAAGGUGUCUUCAAUUAUGUACCUGGCUUCGUGUUUCAACCUUAUUCCUCCACCGCUCUCUGAUCCUAAAUCCUAACAGUAGGAGCUCUAUUUUGAUCACCGAAAAUCUUCUUGUUUCCCCCUUCAUCUCAGAUGUCAAUUUGAAGUUACCAUUCACGAUGAUACUCAUUUGGCGACAAUAACAAUUUCAGACAAAAUUGGAGAUGAACUGCUAUCUCUCACAGCGUAGAAAUUUAUGAUAUACGUUGCACCAAGACACUCAUUACCCCAAUAAAAAAGGUUCCGCAAAAUAUUAGUGAUUGCCAUCGUGUCAAUCACCAAUAAAGAUAUCGCUAGAAAUCAAUGAUUGUCGCUCACUGCACCAGCUACCCCUGAAAGCAGCAAAUGUAAGCUGAAACAGAUUAUGACAAAGUAAGACUGAAAGGUACUUCUUGGCAAGAGCUGACCAGCAUGGGAGGACAAUCAAAGUGUGACAUUAUGUAAAUACUACAAGAGUAAAUUUUCUUAUGUAAAUAACGCAGCCACAAACCAUUGUCAACCAUAUAUAUAAUAAUUAUGUAUAUACCUGCAAACGAUUUCAAUGUGCAAGUGUGCAUGCGCAUUUAGAGCACGGUCUUCUCUGCCUAGUACUUCAUAUACAAGGACUAAGGAGUAAUAAAGUUUAAGUGAAGUAAUAUUGGGUAACCAAAGUUACUCGUUUCUAAUACUUGUUUUA
Molecule: long non-coding RNA, 736 nt
Organism: Solanum pennellii
Lineage: Eukaryota; Viridiplantae; Streptophyta; Magnoliopsida; Solanales; Solanaceae
Exons: 4
Source: RefSeq, a predicted model, not a curated record